GACGAACGCUGGCGGCGUGCCUAAUACAUGCAAGUAGAACGCUGAAGGAGGAGCUUGCUUCUCUGGAUGAGUUGCGAACGGGUGAGUAACGCGUAGGUAACCUGCCUGGUAGCGGGGGAUAACUAUUGGAAACGAUAGCUAAUACCGCAUAAGAGUAGAUGUUGCAUGACAUUUGCUUAAAAGGUGCAAUUGCAUCACUACCAGAUGGACCUGCGUUGUAUUAGCUAGUUGGUGGGGUAACGGCUCACCAAGGCGACGAUACAUAGCCGACCUGCGAGGGGGAGCGGCCACACUGGGAGGGAGACACGGCCCAGAGUCCUUCGGGAGGGAGCAGUAGGGAAUCUUCGGGAAGGGACGGAAGUCUGACCGAGAAACGCCGCGGGAGGGAAGAAGGUUGUCGGAUCGGAAAGGUCGGUUGUAAGGGAAGAAAGAGUGUGAGAGUGGAAAGUUCACACUGUGACGGUAUCUUACCAGAAAGGGACGGCUAACUACGUG
RNAcentral lists this ribosomal RNA (495 nucleotides) under uncultured bacterium. RNAcentral's name for it is "partial 16S ribosomal RNA". It matches the Rfam family "Bacterial small subunit ribosomal RNA", at positions 28 to 507 of the family's 1533-position model. The record is from RNAcentral.